AAAGGUAAUUAGAUAUUGGAUAACCUUUGAAGCGAAGCAAAGCUGCAGAAGAGAAGAGAAGAGAAGAGAAGCAUUGAGUGGAAGAAGAAGAAAGAUCGGUUCUUGGUUUGAGAAUUCAAUGGCGGUUUCUUCUGUAACAUCAUUCAUAUUACCACCCUCUUUCCCAAAUCCAACCUCUUCGUCUUCUCCUACCAGACAGAAACUCUCUCUCCUUUCACUGCUUCCAUCUUCUAGUUCUACUCAUGGCAGCAUUAGCUCCUCCGUCCUUAACAAACCCUCCUCCUCGUUCACGAACAAGGUCUUCGCUGCUCCAGAAACUCUCGAUGAACCAUCAUCCUCUGAGGAAUUCUCCGAGGUUCCGAGCUCUUCCUCCAGAAGUGUAGACGCAGAUAAGAUGGCACCAAAGCAAAAGAUUAGGAUCAAGCUUAGAUCAUACUGGGUGCCUCUCAUUGAGGACUCAUGCAAGCAGAUACUUGACGCUGCGAGGAAUACUAAUGCUAAGACGAUGGGUCCUGUUCCAUUGCCGACCAAGAAGCGUAUCUACUGUGUUCUCAAGUCUCCCCACGUUCACAAGGAUGCAAGGUUUCACUUUGAGAUCCGGACUCACCAGCGGAUGAUUGAUAUUCUCUACCCCACUGCUCAGACCAUCGACUCCUUGAUGCAGCUGGAUCUUCCUGCUGGUGUUGAUGUGGAGGUCAAGCUCUGAAGAUCAACCGUGACUUUACAGUGGUAACAAAAACACUCUCAAACUAAUGUGUCUGGUGAUGGGCGCUUGCAUUGCAUGAACAGACUGUUUCAGAUCAACUACACUUCUUAGAACUUGUAAGCCCUGUAUCAACUUUUUGAGAGCCUCUGUAAUGAAUAUUCUCUUGUUCUUGUUCUUAAUUGACGAACAAAUCAGCUAGUAAGCAAGUUCAAAGGAAUCCAUUUUUUGUAUGUGUGUUUACUAAUUGUUUUGCUGUCAACUGUUAUAAAUAAGUUCAAUAUAUUUUUCUUUUGUA
Brassica napus (rape) is the source of this 1001-nucleotide RNA transcript. It is a transcript of the gene named 30S ribosomal protein S10, chloroplastic, with no coding region annotated. NCBI's taxonomy places the organism in Eukaryota, Viridiplantae, Streptophyta, Magnoliopsida, Brassicales, Brassicaceae. The transcript is spliced from 4 exons. The record is from RefSeq and is a predicted model, not a curated record.